Molecule: long non-coding RNA, 1057 nt
Organism: Halichondria panicea
Lineage: Eukaryota; Metazoa; Porifera; Demospongiae; Suberitida; Halichondriidae
Exons: 3
Source: RefSeq, a predicted model, not a curated record
UCUCAAAUCCUGGCUACGCCCCUGGAGCACAUCCAUUGGAGUGGUCCUACUAGCUAGCACGGUGCACUGGACACAAUGGACCAACACUCUGACUCAGGGGAAAGGUACAGGGACACCUCAACGAAUUGUGUAACUCUGAUGUCACUCAGUCCAGUGUCUGCUGUGUCAGCAAGUACCGUUUCAGCUCAGAUUGAGAACAUACUCCAUGACUCUGUGCACGACACGCUACGUGGGUGAACUGCAACAAGUCACAAACGUUGGAUCUUUUAGCCUCGAUCUCAGGCCGCACUGAAGAUGAGGUUGAUGAGGCCAUACCACUAUCUAUGACGAGGCCUAGCAUAUGCCAUUACCUACUCAGCGUGAAUGUGAUCUGCUGCCAGCAUGUGCCAGUCCAGUGGCUGUGCUAUAGGAUAAGAAUGGAUGAAUGCAUGAAAGGAUGGAGGUGAGGGGAGAUGCUUUGUAGAGACGGCACCUGUUGUAGGCUACUGAUAAUAAUCACGAGGUUCAUUGUUUUGUUCAUAUUUCCCGAUAGUAUUGCUUGCCCAUGUGUUAGACCUUAUUGGUGGAGGGAGGUCAAUAUUGAGCAACCAUACGCUAGCUGAGUUGGCAUGGGCUCAGAGAUUUCAUUUGUCAUGGUAUUUUAAACUACAGUAUGGUGUAAUUGUUUAUCCAUGCAUGUAUGGACAUGUGGCAGUACUAUUGGAGGUGACCUUUCACUAAUUAUGACCUUUCAAUGACAUUCUACCAACUUGCUUUGUUUACUGUGAAAGGGGUGGAAUGUGACACCUCUCUGAAAAGGGGGAGGAUCUGAGCAAUGAUUAUGUUUACUGGGAAACAAGGCUGAAAGGGGCGAAAUUUCCUCUUUUAUGUGUGGUCCCACUGUGUACACUGUAGCUAAGUGGUUGACUUAUAAUAAGGUUUGUAUUUUAAUUGAAGUGAAUGUGGUCUGUCUAGUCAUCAAGACUGUGGAAUGUGGGGGGAUGAGUCGUGGUAGGCUUAAGCUCUCAAUGACUAAUAAUACCCAUAUCAUCACACCCUCACACCCUCACACAAGACA